AUGGGGAGGUCGCCGUGCUGCGAGAAGGAGCACACCAACAAGGGGGCGUGGACCAAGGAGGAGGACCAGCGGCUGAUCGCCUACAUCAGGGUCAACGGCGAGGGCUGCUGGCGCUCGCUGCCCAAGGCGGCCGGCCUGCUGCGGUGCGGCAAGAGCUGCCGCCUCCGCUGGAUGAACUACCUCCGGCCCGACCUCAAGCGCGGCAACUUCACCGACGACGAGGACGAGCUCAUCAUCCGCCUCCACAGCCUCCUCGGCAACAAGUGGUCUCUGAUCGCCGGGCAGCUGCCGGGCAGGACGGACAACGAGAUCAAGAACUACUGGAACACGCACAUCAAGCGCAAGCUCCUCUCCCGCGGCAUGGACCCCCAUACUCACCGCCCGCUCACGCCCGUCGACGGCGCCGCGGCGUCCCGCCCGGCACACAUAGCUGUGCCAGCGAGGGCAGCGCCACCCACGAUGUUCGCCCCCCUGACGACGAAGCAGCCUCCCAUGGAGUCGUCGUCCGACGACGGCAGCAGCGGCGCGACGAGCACGGGGGAGCCGCGGUGCCCCGACCUGAACCUCGACCUGUCAGUGGGCCCGCCGGCUGCCGACACGCCGACCUCGCACCCGGUCUGCCUCUGCCGCCACCUCGGCCUCCGCGGCGGGGCGGUGUGCAGCUGCCGUCAGGCCGACAGCCCGGGCUCCCAGGGGGGCGGGUUCAGAUAUUUCAGGCCGCUGGAGGAAGGCCAGUACAUAUGA
RNAcentral lists this ribosomal RNA (744 nucleotides) under Triticum aestivum (bread wheat). RNAcentral describes it as "partial small subunit ribosomal RNA". Lineage: Eukaryota; Viridiplantae; Streptophyta; Magnoliopsida; Poales; Poaceae. The record is from RNAcentral.